Molecule: long non-coding RNA, 1479 nt
Organism: Cyprinus carpio carpio
Lineage: Eukaryota; Metazoa; Chordata; Actinopteri; Cypriniformes; Cyprinidae
Source: Ensembl
CAGUAGGUCAAACCAGCAACCGGUUUAACUGAAGAGUAACCAAAGAUUAAAAAUUAUUUCGUGAAUGGACACUCUUGGAGGGUUACUGAGCAACGUCAGCCUGGCUUAAUUAAUAUUCAUAAGCUAAACCUUCGCCAUAGUAAGAUUUUCUGAUUCUGGUCCCAGACACAAUUUAUUCCGCAUGUGGUCAAAGGAACCAGUCGGUGGCGCUUCAGCGCAACAUGUACAAAUAUGAUAUGUCUACAGCAGCCAGAUGGAUAAUUCAUUAAUAACGAGCACAUGGGGUCGCUCUGACUAAAACAGCAUACAUGGAGGAUUUCAAAAGGCUUGCGCAUUAAAGAGGCUCACUGUUCCACCGCGUAUUAUUGACUUUUUCCCUUCGUCCACUUUUGCGCAAAGGGAGAAUGUUGUAAGCGGUCCCUGUGGAUAUACUGUGUCUUCAUGAGGAGUUGAGCGCAAAUAAGGGGGCGGGUGAUGAUAAUGUGUGAAGAGUGGCAGCAACUUCUCACUACACGGCAACAUUUUCCGUUCUUCUUCAGGCGAUAUGCCCAUUCUUUCUAAAGAAGCUCCGAGGAGGAAGGCUGGUGGUGGACAUGGUGAAAAUGACAGGCAAUGACGUUAUAGGCGGUGUUUGUGUGUGAAGGUGCGUAAUGAAACUGAUUGUGGACAGUCUACUGAUGCAGCAUAAUGGUCCAAUGAUCUACAACAAAACAGAGAGAGCUUUGGUGAGAAGUAAGCCAAUACUUGACUACCACAAUAUUAAUUUCUUGCUACAAAUGAAAUCAAAAGUUGAAAAAGUCAGAAACAUGCAUUUACAAAUACCGCAGCUUUCAGACACCAUUUUAUUUAUUUAUUUAUUUUAGCCCAACUGUCACAAAUGUGCCCAGGAUAGUGGGAUAUUAGUGAAGGAUGUGACCCAAUCAUUGGAUUUGGACAAGCCUUGUUUCCUCCAUAUGCUGCAUGCGGAAAAGUAUGGUUGAUCUGUAUUUUGUUGCAAAAUGCAAAGACAUUUCUACAUUUUUAGGGUCUAUUAUGUGUAUAUAUAUAGAUAUAUAUGCACUACCAGUCAAAAGUUUGGAAUAAGUCUUUAUUUUUCAUAUUUUUGAAAGAAGUGCCUUAUGCUCACCAAGUCUGCAUUUAUUUGACCCAAAAAUACUUAAAAUAUUACUACAAUUUAAAAAGAAGUUUUUUUCUAUUUUAAAAUUAAAUUUAUAUGAUGUAAAACCUGAAUUUUCAGAAACCAUUUCUCCAGUAUUCAGAGUCACAUGGUCAUACAGAAACACAUAUUAUAUAUAAUAAUAUUUGAUCACAUAAAUGCAGUCUUGUUGAGCAUAAGAGACUUCCUUCAAAAACAGUUCAAAAACUUAGUGAUUACUGGUAGUGUACAUUUAUAAUAUGCACUCACCUGCCAAGCAAAAAUGCAAGUAGCCCUGAUUAAAAAAAAAAAAAAAAAACCUUUCUGUUCUCACAUUUGUAAAG